This 460-nucleotide ribosomal RNA is filed under the name uncultured bacterium. Its description in RNAcentral is "partial 16S ribosomal RNA". It matches the Rfam family "Bacterial small subunit ribosomal RNA", at positions 338 to 795 of the family's 1533-position model. The record is from RNAcentral.
CCUACGGGAGGCAGCAGUGAGGAAUAUUGGUCAAUGGGCGGAAGCCUGAACCAGCCAAGUAGCGUGCAGGAUGACGGCCCUACGGGUUGUAAACUGCUUUUAUACGGGAAUAACGCGCCUUAAGUGUAGGGCUUUGCAUGUACCGGAUGAAUAAGGAACGGCUAAUUCCGUGCCAGCAGCCGCGGUAAUACGGAAGGUCCGGGCGUUAUCCGGAUUUAUUGGGUUUAAAGGGAGCGUAGGCCGCAUGUCAAGCGUGCUGGGAAAGGUCCGGGCUCAACCCGGGCCUUGCAGCGCGAACUGGCGUGCUUGAGGCCGCGGAAGGCAGGCGGAAUUCGUCGUGUAGCGGUGAAAUGCUUAGAUAUGACGAAGAACCCCGAUUGCGAAGGCAGCUUGCUGCAGCGGAACUGACGCUGAUGCUCGAAAGCGCGGGUAUCGAACAGGAUUAGAUACCCCUGUAGUC